Long non-coding RNA from Myotis lucifugus (little brown bat), 583 nucleotides. RefSeq lists it as uncharacterized. The transcript is spliced from 3 exons. Lineage: Eukaryota; Metazoa; Chordata; Mammalia; Chiroptera; Vespertilionidae. The record is from RefSeq and is a predicted model, not a curated record.
CUCUCUGAGCAGGAACCACCCUAACGUCCAUGGGCAGAUAAGCGGGUAAACGAAACGUGCCCACACGGCACAUACACACGGGUCCUGACCGCGUGACCACACGGAUGAGCCUCGGGGGCUGCAAUGAGCCAGACGCCAGGGGAACAGACAAAGAAUCCGGGAACCAUCCUGCCCGGGAACACCGCGUGUUCCAGUCCAAAAAGCCCGCUUCAUCGUCCAAUACGCCUGGGAGGGCCCAGGUGAGGAUGGAGGCCACGGGAGCCACGACCCACCGAGGUCACUGGUGACCCUGGAGGCCUUUUAGGAAACACGGACUUGUUCCUCCGGCCACGAACAUGCGAAGCUACAAGGAAGGCGAUACGGCGGACAUCGAGGGAAUGGGCUGUUCAGAAAGGAAGGCCCCACCCACGUGCCCACGGCCACGCUGGACGAGGCUGUGUGCCACCCAGCGCGCCAUGGCAUCGCGAACGCGCAGGUGAGGGCAAGAUUCUGGCCAAGGGAGUCAGUGCCCGUAUUGAGCCUGUUAAGCCCUCAAGAGCCCAGAGAGCUUCCUGAAACGUGUGAAGGGAGAUGAGCAGAAAGG